RNAcentral lists this non-coding RNA (161 nucleotides) under bovine gut metagenome. Its description in RNAcentral is "Lysine riboswitch". It matches the Rfam family "Lysine riboswitch aptamer". Rfam says of the family: Riboswitches are metabolite binding domains within certain messenger RNAs that serve as precision sensors for their corresponding targets. Allosteric rearrangement of mRNA structure is mediated by ligand binding, and this results in modulation of gene expression. This family includes riboswitches that sense lysine in a number of genes involved in lysine metabolism, including lysC. The record is from RNAcentral.
GGAUAGAGGCGCGGUUGUCAAGAGUACCGCGGAUGUUAAAGGCUUCGCACAGCCGUUGUCCGCAGGAAAGGGACCAUCGCCGAAGGUGGGUUACAGCGUACCCCUGCCUGGGCAGACGGAGAAUAUCCGUCUGACUGUCGCAUUCUGCGGAGAGCUAUGUA